CAAAAUAACUAAAAAUUAAAUGAACUAAAUUAAUUAACUACAAUAAUAAAAUUAAUUCAAGUAACUAAAAUUAUUAAAAUUAAUUUUUACCCCAAAUAUAAUUUUUGUCGAAUUUUGCUAGCUUGGGAGUUUUUAUGUGUGCCGGAUCAAAGGGCAGUGACUGCCAGUGGCCAGAUCCAACUGACAGUGGCGGAGAGAGGCGGAGACAGUGGCGAUCGGCGGCGGUGGCACACGAUCUGGCGGAGGAGCGACUGGCAGCGAGGCUUGAAGCUAGUGCUGCUGUUGUCGGCGCCACAGGCCUGGCAGAGGGCUGACUGUGGUGCGCGGAGGAGCUGCGGGACGUGCUGGCGCGCGAUGGAGGCGAUGCUGACUGCAACUGGCGCGCGGUGGUGAUCGACUGAC
This 402-nucleotide long non-coding RNA is filed under the name Jatropha curcas. Its description in RNAcentral is "long non-coding RNA (JCUR_LNC001104)". The record is from RNAcentral. Lineage: Eukaryota; Viridiplantae; Streptophyta; Magnoliopsida; Malpighiales; Euphorbiaceae.